GAUGAAGAACGCAGCGAAAUGCGAUAAGUAAUGUGAAUUGCAGAAUUCAGUGAAUCAUCGAGUCUUUGAACGCACAUUGCGCCCCCUGGCAUUCCGGGGGGCAUGCCUGUCCGAGCGUCAUUGCUGCCCUCAAGCACGGCUUGUGUGUUGGGUCGCCGUCCCCCUCCGGGGGGACGGGCCCGAAAGGCAGCGGCGGCACCGGGUCCGGUCCUCGAGCGUAUGGGGCUUCGUCACCCGCUCUGUAGGGCCGGCCGGCUGUCUGCAGACAACCUAUUUAAUUUUCUUCAGGUUGACCUCGGAUCAGGUAGGGAUACCCGCUGAACUUAAGCAUAUCAAUAAGCGGAGGA
Molecule: unclassified non-coding RNA, 347 nt
Filed under: soil metagenome
Description: partial contains 5.8S ribosomal RNA, internal transcribed spacer 2, and large subunit ribosomal RNA
Rfam family: 5.8S ribosomal RNA (bases 1-120)
Source: RNAcentral